UAAGAGCUGAUAAUGGCCUAUCAUCAAA
Molecule: small RNA, 28 nt
Filed under: Bombyx mori (domestic silkworm)
Lineage: Eukaryota; Metazoa; Arthropoda; Insecta; Lepidoptera; Bombycidae
Description: ovarian small RNA-2881
Source: RNAcentral